GCGAAAGUAGCUCAGUUGGUAGAGCGUAACCUUGCCAAGGUUAAGGUCGCGGGUUCGAGACCCGUCUUUCGCUCCA
Molecule: transfer RNA, 76 nt
Filed under: Bacteroidota bacterium
Lineage: Bacteria; Pseudomonadati; Bacteroidota
Also listed under: 1 other name
Description: Bacteroidetes bacterium (activated sludge metagenome) tRNA-Gly
Rfam family: tRNA
About the family: Transfer RNA (tRNA) molecules are approximately 80 nucleotides in length. Their secondary structure includes four short double-helical elements and three loops (D, anti-codon, and T loops).
Source: RNAcentral